AGCAAUAAGGAGGAUCUGCAGAGAUGGAUUGCUUCUUACAAAAAUAAAUGGCCUACAUACGGUCUGACAGUGAUGUGUGAUGGUUGGACAGGUCCUACUAGGCGGAGCAUCAUUAAUUUUUUGACAUACUGUGAUGGAAAAAUAUUUUUUCACAAAUCAAUCGAUGCUUCAAAUAAGAUGCACGAUGCCACAUAUAUCCUUGAUCUGAUGGAGGAGGUGAUUGAUUCAGUGGGUGAGCAGCAUGUCGUGCAGGUCAUCACAGAUAAUGGACCAUAAUAUAAGGCUGUCGGGGAGUUACUGAUGGAGCAGCGACCGCAAAUAUGCUAGAUUCCAUGUGCUGCACAUUGCAUUGAUCUUAUAUUGAUGGAUAUCGGAAAGAUUCGCAGGGUGCAGCAGGUAGUGGACAUUGCCCAGACCAUUACUAGAUUCAUCUACAACCACACAUGGGUUCUNNNNNNNNNNNNNNNNNNNNGGUGACGAGUCAGUCAUUUUGGCAGUGGACUGAGAAGAUAGUGAAGGCUAUCAAGCCUUUAUAUGAGGUGCUUCGCGCCGUGGACAGCGAGAGAUACCCCCAGAUGGGUUUCUUAUAUUACAUGAUGGAGAGGACAAAGAAACAGAUCAGUGAGAAUGAUCCUAAGCAUGCUCAAGAAUUCAUUAACAUUAUUGAGCACCGUUGGGACUAUCAGAUGGGCAGAGAUUUGCAUCUAGAUGGUAAGUUUGGAUUCAAGAAUGUUUUAAAAUAUUUUUUCGAAGCAUGAAAAUAAAAUUGUGCUUAAUCAGUCUUGAAAUUUAUCUGCAGCUUAUUACUUGAAUCCGAGAUUUCAGUAUACUAUUCCGGGGAUAGAUAUGGAUAGCGAGCUUCUUGCUGCUCUUCGCAAUGUCAUAUAUAAGAUGGUGCCCGAUCCAGAAAUCGCAUCGUUGUAUCUGCAAGAGGUAUGCUAGUUUAAAACAGAUGUAAUUAUUCAACUGAAUUCGAUCUGAUAUAUUUAUAAAUAAUAAAUAUAUUUUGUUUUAGACGAAACAGUUUAGAGAGGGAUCAGACAGUUUUGGAGUCCCAUCAGCUGUCGUAAGCAAAAAGCAGAUGAAUCCAGGUAAAUUACAUAUCAAUAAUGAGCAAUUUAGAUUGAUAUGUAAUUUUGCUUAAUAAUAUCAUCAAAUUUGAUAUGUAAUUUUGCUUUUGUAGCUGAAUGGUUGAUUCAUUUUGGAACGUCAGCAGAAAAUUUGAGACAUAUAGCUGUCCGUAUUCUUUCUCAGACGGUCUCUGCUAGUGGUUGUGAGCAUAAUUGGUCCACUUUCGUCCUUAUCCACAGCAAACAGAGAAAUCGUCUGACACAAAAAUGCCUUGACGAUCUUGUAUAUAUUCACUACAAUCUGAGGUUGAGGCUAAAAUGUAUUCAGGAGGAAGUUCAGUUGAAGUACACUGAUCCGACGUUGGAUGAUUAUGCCGACGAGGAUGACGAUCCGAUCAUCGGAUGGUUUGCAGGUCAGCAGCAAGAGCCAGAGCUUGAUGAGUCAGGAUCCCCUCCACGACCAGCCAGUGUGGUGGCGAGGGAGAUCAGGGUGGAUCCAGAGCAAUGGGCAAAAAAAAAUAUUCCACAUAGGGUUCUAGCUGAUCAGCCAUAGUCUGAGGGGACACAAGGGACUCAUUCAUCACAUGACUCGCUAUCCGAUACAUCUUCCCAGAGAUUCGAGCGGGAGAUGUAUAGACGAUUCUCUCGGCAGCCAGCAAGAAGGCAUCCAUCUUCCCAAUCACAGGAAACUCAGUCACAGAAGGGCACAAGGAGGGAAAGGAAAAGACAGUUGUACGUGCACCACUCUCGAAAGUACAGGAGCUAUCUAGUUUAGAUACGGACACCAGGGAGAGUGAUGAUGAUACUGGUAGUAGUAGCCAUGGAUCUAAUGAUCAGGGAGGAACUGGAGGACAGGAGACCACCGUUUAUGAGACAGCCACAGGGUGAUAUUCGAUUCACCGGUGAGUCUCAGUUUGCGCAUGUCACACAGGAUAGGGAUCAUGGUGGGCGANNNNNNNNNNNNNNNNNNNNCUCUCGGCUCGGCAUCAUUGGAGAUGCAAAUAGUGCAACACAGAGUUCAAGAAAGAAGGAGUGACUAGGUUGAAGCAGCAUCUGACUGGUGGUUAUCCUGAUGUGUCCAUGUGUCAGAAAUGUCCGCAAGAGGUCCGAUAAUUGAUGAAAAAGCACUUUGCUAAUUUGAAAGCAGUGAAGGAAAGGGCAAAGCAGAAAAAGAUGAAGUAGACCGUCGAGCUGCAGAGCCACCUUCUUAUCACUCUAGAGAGUCAGAGGAAGCUUCUGCUCCAGAUGAUGAGGAGGCACAGAUUGAGACUACCAUUCAGACGAGCUUGGCGGAUCAGUACCAGCAGGAGGAGAUGGCCCGGUACAGAGAGCGAUUCGGACCAUCGUGCUAUGAAUCAGGAUCUGGAUCAGCGACUGGUAGGGGAGAAUUUGAGUUAAGGAGGACUACCUCAGUCAGAAAGCCUGGUGGUAGAGGGAGCAGACGCAGCAUGUCUUCUUUGUUGGGAGCUUUUGGCAGUAGGAGGAGAUCCUCCAGAGAUAUUCCAGCAGGAGCCAGCAUUCAGGAUUUGGAUCCACAUGCUUUGCCCAGCAAGGAUUCAAAACAGCAGAGAAUUAACAGUAUGCUGAAAAAAGAUAAGAAGAAGGAUAUGUGGAGAGCUAUUGGAUCAUGAUUUUAUUUCAGCCAUAUUUCAGUAAAUGCAGCAGCCAAUCCUUACUACCGAUCUGCUAUUUCAGCCAUAGAAGCUGCCUACCAGGGUGUAAAUCCUCCAAGAUCUAAGGACAUCUAUGGUCAGCUUCUUGACAGCAAUAAAGAGGAUCUGCAGAGAUAGAUUGCUUCUUACAAAAAUAAAUGACCUACAUACGGUCUGACAGUGAUGUGUGAUGGUUGGACAGGUCCUACUAGGCAGAGUAUCAUUAAUUUUUUGACAUACUGUGAUGGAAAAAUAUUUUUUCACAUGAUGCAACUGCGGACGAUCUUGCACGUGGAGUAGGAUCCAUGGAUGUAUCUGGAUCAUCCUCGCAUUAUGGAUCCUAUUAUCCACAGCCACCUUAUGAUCCAUAUGCAUAUGGUGCAUCCGAGGCAUCAUUUUCUAGUGGUUACUACCCUAUGCAGUCUGGAGCAUCUUACGGAUCAAAUUUUGCUACUGGCAUAUUUGGAUGGGCUCCUCCACAACCGUACCAUCAUCUCGAGGAUACUUCUCAGAGUCAGAAUUUUAGCGAGAGGUCUGAGAUGUCUUACAAUCCAGAGAGGAUGUCUUAUGGGAUGAUGAAUAUUCGAGAGUACAGUG
This 3319-nucleotide long non-coding RNA is filed under the name Elaeis guineensis (African oil palm). Its description in RNAcentral is "long non-coding RNA (EGUI_LNC035199)". Lineage: Eukaryota; Viridiplantae; Streptophyta; Magnoliopsida; Arecales; Arecaceae. The record is from RNAcentral.